UCGACAGAGCCCAUUUUUGUGUGCCUCUCGCCGAGUGCACGCAAGCAGUGGCACUUCCUUUUCCGUCUUCGCCACCGGAUCAAGUGGCUCUGCAUCAUGCUGUCUUCUGCAAGCAGCGCUUCCGCGCUGUGGAGCGCGUGCGGCAUCGUUGCGUUGAUCUGUGCCUUCGCCACCGCUGUCCUCUGUGUGACCGUGUGGCAGCUCUGCGGACGCGUCAACGUGAUGCAGCACGGCGCCGUCGCCAUCGCCCUCAUCCCGAUAUCAGUUUUCCUCGGCCAUGUCUUGUGUGCCUCCUACAACGCACUGGGCGAGACCCUGCAGACGUUCGCCAAGAAGAACGCGCAAGAUUUGCCACAGCCGCUCUUCUACGUGAUUGCGGCGAUCCGCCCGCUCGUGGCGCAAGUUGGGCUGACGGACGCGAUGUGGAUGGCAUGCUUGCUGUUUACUGCCUAUAGCGUGACGAAGGUGUUGCACCACUUGAUUGACAUCACGCGGUUGCUGAAGGCGUCUCGGCGACGGCUGCAGCUGCCCGAAAUGCGCGAGCGCCGUCGACAAGAGGAGGCGGCGAAUACGAAAGGGCAGAAGCGGCGUUGAGCAAGUUGUCUUUAUCUGUGUAAAGCGCAUGGAAGGGGGAGGGAGGUGGUCGAGCUCCAGGUCUUCUGCCGAUGUGUUGUGCAGGUCCAACGCCCCCCUUUCCUUUCCUUCUCUCUUUCUCGGCUGCACAUGUAGGGACUGCGCACAGGAGUGCAACUCGGCAGUCGAAGCAAAGGGCGUGAGCAGGGACCACAAGUAGGCAAGGCGAACCGCGUUGUAUCACGCUGGCGCACGUCUUGACGCUUCCGAAAGCAUCGGCGUCGAAUCUGACGACGGUUCGACCCAAGCGCUCGUGCAGGGCCACACGAUAAAGUGACUUCCUCGUCUUGUGCACCCACCUUCCACUCCUCUCCCUCUUUCUUCACUGCGCAG
RNAcentral lists this unclassified non-coding RNA (966 nucleotides) under Leishmania donovani. RNAcentral's name for it is "gene:LdHU3.23.2210(CDS-product:hypothetical_prote in_conserved)". The record is from RNAcentral. Lineage: Eukaryota; Euglenozoa; Kinetoplastea; Trypanosomatida; Trypanosomatidae.